GAAUGAUUACAUCCAUCCCUUUUGCAGUUUUUGCAUGCUGGGAAACAUCCAGAAGCUAUUCAUAAUGGCCUGACUAUACAUCUUUGAAUGCCAUCGUUGUCAUUGUCCUCUCAAAUCCUUUUUCAAAAUUUGGCUGCAGAAGACCCAAUUUCACUUUAGAGGAAUAGCAAGCAAAUGCGCUUCAAGUUUCAAUGUGCAAACAUAUCCACAUUCUUUUAUCUCUUAGACCCCU
RNAcentral lists this long non-coding RNA (232 nucleotides) under Elaeis guineensis (African oil palm). RNAcentral's name for it is "long non-coding RNA (EGUI_LNC002781)". Lineage: Eukaryota; Viridiplantae; Streptophyta; Magnoliopsida; Arecales; Arecaceae. The record is from RNAcentral.